UUGCAGCCAAUUAAAUUGACUGCACUCUUUUCCCCAUGAGGGCCCGGUGUGCAAUGUCUGCAAACGGCAGCCUCCUGGGUAUAGUGUACGCAGCCUGUUGCCUGUAUGGGUUGCCCUAAGGGACCUUGGAGACAGCC
This 137-nucleotide small nucleolar RNA is filed under the name Balaenoptera musculus (blue whale). Its description in RNAcentral is "Small nucleolar RNA SNORA70 (ENSBMSG00010014930.1)". It matches the Rfam family "Small nucleolar RNA SNORA70". From Rfam's summary of the family: snoRNA U70 seems to be exclusive to mammals and is a member of the H/ACA class of snoRNA which contain H (ANANNA) and ACA box motifs. H/ACA box snoRNAs are involved in the conversion of uridines to pseudouridines (5-ribosyluracil) a constituent of structural RNAs (transfer, ribosomal, small nuclear, and small nucleolar). Lineage: Eukaryota; Metazoa; Chordata; Mammalia; Artiodactyla; Balaenopteridae. The record is from Rfam by way of RNAcentral.